UCAAGUAUUAUUGUUUUUCAAAAUUUAAUUAUCUCAGUACCUAACAAAAUCAUAUGGAAAAAAGAACCAUCAAAGAACUAGUACCUCUCAAGAUAGUAAAGUGUGUAACUUAAUUCAGCAAUUCAUAUUCGUAGCCAACACACUCUUUCAAAAAUAAUAUUCAUAGAAUAUAGCCUGCUACACCAGGAUUUUUUUUUUUUUUCCAAUAAAUAGUAUAGCCAGGCGGCUAAAGAAUUUAGUAUUUUCCCG
This 249-nucleotide long non-coding RNA is filed under the name Prunus persica (peach). RNAcentral describes it as "long non-coding RNA (PPER_LNC003868)". The record is from RNAcentral. Lineage: Eukaryota; Viridiplantae; Streptophyta; Magnoliopsida; Rosales; Rosaceae.